ACUUUAUAGUUAUAAGUAGUAAUAUCUAAUAAAACUCAGAAGAAUGGCGGUCUAGAAAUAUUAGAGAAACUCGCUUCAUAAUCGAUAUUACCCGUUAAAUUUUACUUAUAAUCAUAAGCCUAUAUACCGCCGUUACAGAACUAGUUUCAAGUCUUAGUUCAAUAUUACUUUCAUUACAAAAAUCAGGUCAAGGUGUAGUAAAUAUAUAAGAGAAAGUAAGUUACAUUAAAUAAAAUUUAAGGAAAAAUUAUUAAAAAUUAAUUAGAAAAAGAAUUUAUUUGUAUACUUAAGUUAAAAUCCUAAGUAGAAUUAAUAAGUCAAGACGC
RNAcentral lists this ribosomal RNA (326 nucleotides) under Metagonia sp. Br16-216. RNAcentral describes it as "partial 12S ribosomal RNA". The record is from RNAcentral. Lineage: Eukaryota; Metazoa; Arthropoda; Arachnida; Araneae; Pholcidae.